This 68-nucleotide transfer RNA is filed under the name Paratimomenus flavocapitatus. RNAcentral's name for it is "tRNA-Trp". It matches the Rfam family "tRNA". From Rfam's summary of the family: Transfer RNA (tRNA) molecules are approximately 80 nucleotides in length. Their secondary structure includes four short double-helical elements and three loops (D, anti-codon, and T loops). Lineage: Eukaryota; Metazoa; Arthropoda; Insecta; Dermaptera; Forficulidae. The record is from RNAcentral.
AAGGCUUUAAGUUAAUUAAACUUUUAGCCUUCAAAGCUUAAAUUGUGAUUCAAAAAUUGCAAGCCUUA